This 29-nucleotide non-coding RNA is filed under the name Cricetulus griseus (Chinese hamster). The record is from RNAcentral. Lineage: Eukaryota; Metazoa; Chordata; Mammalia; Rodentia; Cricetidae.
AGGCAACCCUUUGAUUCACAUGUAGCGAC